CCUUUGCUACAAUUUUUUACUGAACAUCCAGUGAUUUUUCCAAAGGUCACUGCCUCAGAGCCUUUGUCUGGAGCGUUAAAUAUUUAUACAGAUGGCUCCAAAACAGGUGUAGGUGCCUAUAUGGUUGAUUCUCAAGAACCAGUAUUAAUUCAAUAUAGUCCAGGCACCCCCCAAAUUACAGAACGUAAAAUUGUAUUGGAAGUUUUCAAAAGAUUUCAUGAUUUUUUUAAUUUCUGACUCUGCUUAUGUAGUUAAUGCGGUGCACUCACUUGAAAUUGCAGGGCCAAUUUGGUCGAGUAGUACCGUAUGUCAAAUUCUUUUAGAAUUACAAAAUUUGAUUUGGGCCAGAAAAAAUAAAAUUUUUAUACAACAUAUUCGAGCCCAUACUAAUUUGCCUGGUCCCAUGACCAGUAAUAACACCCUGGUGGAUGCUAGUACUCGUAGAGAGUUUAUUUUUCAUGCCACUCCGGUUGAUCUCGCUAGAGGAUUUCAUCAAAAGUUUCAUGUACCUGCUUUUACUCUUCAACAAAAAUUUAAAAUCUCUAGAGCUGCAGCUCGUGAUGUGGUGUUAAGUUGCCAAAAUUGUGUUCAAUUUCACCACCCUCCUCAUGUGGGUAUUAACCCUCGUGGUCUGAUCCAGCUAAAACUUUGGCAGAUGGAUGUCACACACAUAUCUCAAUUUGGAAAUUUAAAAUAUGCUCAUGUUUCUGUUGAUACCUGUUCUGGUAUUAUACACGCUACUCUGAUGACUGGUGAAAA
This 759-nucleotide long non-coding RNA is filed under the name Rattus norvegicus (Norway rat). RNAcentral's name for it is "long non-coding RNA NONRATT024543". The record is from RNAcentral. Lineage: Eukaryota; Metazoa; Chordata; Mammalia; Rodentia; Muridae.